AUACUGCAAGUCGAGCGAAUGAUGAGGAGCUUGCUCCUCUGAUUUAGCGGCGGACGGGUGAGUAACACGUGGGUAAUCUGCCUGUAAGACGGCGAUAACUCCGGGAAACCGGGGCUAAUACCGGAUAACAAGAGAAGAUGCAUAUCUUCUUUUUGAAAGUCGGUUUCGGCUGACACUUACAGAUGAGCCCGCGGCGCAUUAGCUAGUUGGUGAGGUAACGGCUCACCAAGGCGACGAUGCGUAGCCGACCUGAGAGGGUGAUCGGCCACACUGGGACUGAGACACGGCCCAGACUCCUACGGGAGGCAGCAGUAGGGAAUCUUCGGCAAUGGGCGAAAGCCUGACCGAGCAACGCCGCGUGAGCGAUGAAGGCCUUCGGGUCGUAAAGCUCUGUUGUUAGAGAAGAACAAGUACGAGAGUAACUGCUCGUACCUUGACGGUACCUAACCAGAAAGCCACGGCUAACUACGUGCCAGCAGCCGCGGUAAUACAUAUGUGGCAAGCGUUAUCCGGAAUUAUUGGGCGUAAAGCGCGCGCAGGCGGUCUCUUAAGUCUGAUGUGAAAGCCCACGGCUCAACCGUGGAGG
This 586-nucleotide ribosomal RNA is filed under the name Bacillus sp. CH47_2B. RNAcentral describes it as "bacterial SSU rRNA". It matches the Rfam family "Bacterial small subunit ribosomal RNA", at positions 51 to 621 of the family's 1533-position model. Lineage: Bacteria; Bacillati; Bacillota; Bacilli; Caryophanales; Bacillaceae. The record is from RNAcentral.